This 445-nucleotide ribosomal RNA is filed under the name uncultured bacterium. Its description in RNAcentral is "partial 16S ribosomal RNA". It matches the Rfam family "Bacterial small subunit ribosomal RNA", at positions 354 to 796 of the family's 1533-position model. The record is from RNAcentral.
GUAAGGAAUAUUGGACAAUGGACGCAAGUCUGAUCCAGCCAUGCCGCGUGAAGGAUUAAGGUCCUCUGGAUUGUAAACUUCUUUUAUAAGGGACGAAAAAAGGCUUUUCUAAGUCGUCUGACGGUACCUUAUGAAUAAGCACCGGCUAACUCCGUGCCAGCAGCCGCGGUAAUACGGAGGGUGCAAGCGUUAUCCGGAUUCACUGGGUUUAAAGGGUGAGUAGGCGGGCAGGUAAGUCAGUGGUGAAAUCCUAGAGCUUAACUCUAGAACUGCCAUUGAUACUAUCUGUCUUGAAUAUUGUGGAGGUAAGCGGAAUAUGUCAUGUAGCGGUGAAAUGCUUAGAUAUUACAUAGAACACCUAUUGCGUAGGCAGCUUACUACGCAUAUAUUGACGCUGAGGCACGAAAGCGUGGGGAUCAAACAGGAUUAGAUACCCGUGUAGUCC